AGUGAACGCUGGCGGUAGGCCUAACACAUGCAAGUCGAACGGCAGCACGGUAAGAGCUUGCUCUUACGGGUGGCGAGUGGCGGACGGGUGAGGAAUACAUCGGAAUCUACUUUUUCGUGGGGGAUAACGUAGGGAAACUUACGCUAAUACCGCAUACGACCUACGGGUGAAAGCAGGGGAUCUUCGGACCUUGCGCGAUUGAAUGAGCCGAUGUCGGAUUAGCUAGUUGGCGAGGUAAAGGCCCACCAAGGCGACGAUCCGUAGCUGGUCUGAGAGGAUGAUCAGCCACACUGGAACUGAGACACGGUCCAGACUCCUACGGGAGGCAGCAGUAGGGAAUAUUGGGCAAUGGGCGAAAGCCUGAUGCAGCCAUGCCGCGUGAGUGAAGAAGGCCUUCGGAUUGUAAAGCCCUUUUAUUAGGAAAGAAAAGCAGCGGAUUAAAACCCCGCUGUUCUGACGGUACCCAAAGAGUAAGCACCGGCUAACUUCGUG
Molecule: ribosomal RNA, 492 nt
Filed under: uncultured bacterium
Lineage: Bacteria
Description: partial 16S ribosomal RNA
Rfam family: Bacterial small subunit ribosomal RNA
Source: RNAcentral